UUAGAUACCCUGGUAGUCCACGCAGUAAACGGUGAUCACUAGGUGUAUCUGGUAUUGACCCCUGUUGUGCCGGAGUUAACGCAUUAAGUGAUCCGCCUGGGGAGUACGGCCGCAAGGUUAUAACUCAAAGGAAUUGACGGGGCCCGCACAAGCGGUUGGAGCAUGUGGUUUAAUUCGACGCAACGCGAAGAACCUUACCUGGAUUUGACAUCUCGGGAAUCCCGCGGAUACGCGGGAGUGCCCUUCGGGGAGCCCGAAGACAGGUGCUGCAUGGCUGUCGUCAGCUCGUGUCGUGAGAUGUUGGGUUAAGUCCCGCAACGAGUGCAACCCCUAUCUUCAGUUACCAGCGAGUAAAGUCGGGGACUCUGGAGAUACUGCCCCGGUCAACGGGGAGGAAGGUGGGGAUGACGUCAAGUCCUCAUGGCCUUUAUGUCCAGGGCUACACACGUGCUACAAUGGGCUGUACAGAGGGAAGCGAUCUCGCGAGGGUGAGCCAAUCCCAAAAAGCAGUCCUCAGUUCGGAUUGGAGUCUGCAACUCGACUCCAUGAAGCUGGAAUCGCUAGUAAUCGCGGAUCAGCAUGCCGCGGUGAUACGUUCCCGGGCCUUGUACACACCGCCCGUCACACCAUGAGAGUUGGCUGUACCAGAAGUCGUCGGGCCAACCACGCCUUUGGCGUGGGGGCAGGCGCCUAAGGUAUGGCUGAUGAUUGGGGUGAAGUCG
This 722-nucleotide ribosomal RNA is filed under the name uncultured organism. RNAcentral describes it as "bacterial SSU rRNA". It matches the Rfam family "Bacterial small subunit ribosomal RNA", at positions 778 to 1488 of the family's 1533-position model. The record is from RNAcentral.